RNAcentral lists this ribosomal RNA (208 nucleotides) under uncultured bacterium. Its description in RNAcentral is "partial 16S ribosomal RNA". It matches the Rfam family "Bacterial small subunit ribosomal RNA", at positions 568 to 774 of the family's 1533-position model. The record is from RNAcentral.
CUCGUAGGUGGUUUGUCGCGUCGUCUGUGAAAUUCCGGGGCUUAACUCCGGGCGUGCAGGCGAUACGGGCAUAACUUGAGUACUGUAGGGGUAACUGGAAUUCCUGGUGUAGCGGUGAAAUGCGCAGAUAUCAGGAGGAACACCGAUGGCGAAGGCAGAUCUCUGGGCCGUAACUGACGCUGAGGAGCGAAAGCAUGGGGAGCGAACA